GAUGAACGCUCGCUGUGUGCCUAAUACAUGCAUGUUGAACGGGAUGUAGCAAUACAUUCAGUAGCGAAGGGGUGAGUGUCACGUACCUAACCUACCUUUAAGACUGGGGUAACUAUUGGAAACAAUAGCUAAUACCGGAUAUAGUUAUAUAUCGCAUGAUGAGUAAUAGAGAGGGGCUUCACAGCUUCACUUUAAAACGGGGGUGCGGAACAUUAGUUAGUUGUGGGGGUAAAGGCCUACCAAGACGAUGAUGUUUAGCCGGGGCGAGAGGGUUUACGGCCACACUGGGGCUGAGAGACGGCCCAGACUCUUACGGGGGGGGGCAGUGAGGGAUUUUUCACAAUGAGCGAAAGAUUUUUGGGAGCGACACACCGCGCGGGAUGAAGUUCUUCGGAAUGUGAACUGCUGUUUUAGGGGAAAAAAAAAAAGAAAAGGAAAAAAUUUUAUCUUUGGGGGGCCCUUUUUUGAAAACGACACCAAACUAUGUGCCCGCACCGGCGGUAAAACAUAGGGCGCCAAGCGUUAUCCGGAAUUUUUGGGGGGAAAAGCGUCCGUGGGGUUUUUGCUAAGGCUGGAGUUAAAAGCGGAAACUCCACUUUCAGUCCGCUUUGGGAAACUGGGAAAAAAAAAUAUUAAAGGGGGUUGGCGGGAAUUCCUAGGGAAAGGGGGGGGAAUCGUGGAUAUUUGGGAAGAACCCCAUAAGGGGAGGGGGGUUAAUUUGUUUUAUAUUUGCACUAAAGGGCCAAAACGGGGGGGGGCAAAAAGGGUUAGAAACCCCGGAAUCCAAAGGGGCAUUUCCCAUUUGGUUCUACCCCGGGGAUCCCUUGGUCUUGAGGGGCCCCCCCCGGGAGACCCUAUUCCCCUAUAGGUGGGGUGGUUUUCCGCGCUCUCCUGGGCGAGGAGUAAAAAACUGCGUGACUGGAAAACUCUGGGGUUACCUCAUUUAAUCCCUUGUGGAUAUCCCGUUGCGCGGAGGGGAAAAUGCAGAGUGCCUUUUUAAUUAAUUUGUGGCA
Molecule: ribosomal RNA, 1013 nt
Filed under: uncultured Catonella sp.
Lineage: Bacteria; Bacillati; Bacillota; Clostridia; Lachnospirales; Lachnospiraceae
Description: partial 16S ribosomal RNA
Rfam family: Bacterial small subunit ribosomal RNA
Source: RNAcentral